This 253-nucleotide ribosomal RNA is filed under the name uncultured bacterium. RNAcentral's name for it is "partial 16S ribosomal RNA". It matches the Rfam family "Bacterial small subunit ribosomal RNA", at positions 524 to 776 of the family's 1533-position model. The record is from RNAcentral.
UACAGAGGGUGCGAGCGUUAAUCGGAAUUACUGGGCGUAAAGCGCACGUAGGUGGCGACGUAAGUCGGGUGUGAAAGCCCCGGGCUCAACCUGGGAAUUGCAUUCGAGACUGCAUUGCUGGAGUACGGAAGAGGAAGGCGGAAUUCCCGGUGUAGCGGUGAAAUGCGUAGAUAUCUGAAGGAACAUCAGUGGCGAAAGCGACUUCCUGGACCAAUACUGACGCUCAUGUGCGAAAGCGUGGGGAGCAAACAGG